GUUGGUGUGGCAGAAUCCGGUGAUGCAAAAGACCUAAGACCUUCGUAAUAGGGGUUCAAAUCCUCUCCCCAACU
Molecule: transfer RNA, 74 nt
Filed under: Citharoides macrolepidotus (large-scale flounder)
Lineage: Eukaryota; Metazoa; Chordata; Actinopteri; Pleuronectiformes; Citharidae
Description: tRNA-Leu
Rfam family: tRNA
About the family: Transfer RNA (tRNA) molecules are approximately 80 nucleotides in length.
Source: RNAcentral